GCGCGGACCGGCGUCCAUGCUGCCGGCGCGGCGGGAGCCCGGCCCCGCGCCCACCCGCCCCGCGGUCCGCGCGCCCACUUACUUUCGGGGCCGCUGACCUCGCGGCUCCCUCGGGGGGGCGGGGGGGAAACGAAAGUUGUCACGGCGUCUCCCCGCGGGGCCCCCUCGCCUCCCGGACCCGCGAGGCGCCGCGGCGGAGCCGGGAGGGCUUGCUGCGCUCCCGCCCGCGUCCGUCCCGUCGCGCUCUCCUCCGCCUCCUCUUCUUUUCACUAUAUUAUCUUCUCCUGCUCGGAGGGGCGGGUGGGGGCGGGAGGCUUAGGAAGCGAGGAGACGUUUGCAACUUUUCUUCACUCUUUCUCUCCCCCCCACCAACCCCCGAUCAGCCUUGAAAAAACACUGUUGAAAGGGGCGAGGAACCUGUGGAGGUGGCGGGGGGGACGCGGAGGGGGUCGGGAGAGGUGAUGAUAGUCGUUUGGAAAACUGAUCAGAGCCCCCCCGCCCCAAACAGAGAUACCCAGAAAGAGGGGGAAAGGCGGGGGGUGGGGUGGGAUGGGGGGUUGGGGGGAAAGAGAAAGAGUCGCUGGUCAGGAAACUUCAAGCGCGGAUGAGGUCAUUGGUUUAAAAAUAAAGAGAUGGCGUCACUUGAAACCAAUCCCAGUGAAUGAACUCAGCGGAGCCCCGGGGAAAGGAGGAGACAGGCAGGGCAGGGCGGUGGGCGACGGGCGGGGCCGUGCGUCCGCCCGAACCCGGAGCGCGGCUCGGCGCCUGGUCGCGGCCGCUCGGGGAGGGGUCGGGUCACGUUCCGUUCCGGGGCCCGGCGACUCCGGGGCAGGUUCCGCGGGCGCCGCUGGGAGGAGCCGGGUGGCCGGGGGAGGCGGCCCCGCGGCCUCCUCCUUCCGCGCCCGCGCGCCGGCUGCCCCCGGGGCCCCCGAUCCCCGACCCUCGGGCCGGGUCUCGGCCGCGUAGGGCUGCGCCCCAACAGACCUGCUGUCUUCAGAACAGUUACCGAAGAGAGAGUUGGAGAGGAUCUGCAUCUCCAGUCUGCUUAGUUGGAGGAGUUGAGAUUCGGAAGAAGGAAGGAGAAGAGAGAGAAUCCUUGUCCUAGACUAGAUCCUGGAUCUAUUGGAUGAAAGACCUCUUUACAUGCUGAGCCCCAGUCGCCUUAUUCUGACACAUCUUGAAACCUCUCUCUCCUCUUUCUUCAUUGACAAUUAAAUUGGAGCACCUUCCAUAUGUAUGCUAUUAUGGGAGUCUCCCCCUGUAUAUCAUCUAAUUAGGAAAGCAACACAAAUUAACACCAAUUAAAAACCAAAUUAAACCUCCCAGGAUCGCAUCUGGAGAAUGGCUUGUAUUCUGCCAGCUUCGGAGUCGGGAGGGAAAGCAAGCCUGGCAGAGGUACCCAUUCCAUUCCCAGUUUGCUCAGUAUCUGGUGAUUGGAAGACACUCUGCAACAAGAGUUCAAGCCUCCGGGCAGGGCGAGAAAGUCCUUCCAAGAAGUCAUCUUUGACGUGGUCUCUUGCCUCUUUCUUGAAGGCAUCAUGGCCGCCCUCAGACCCCUCGUGAAGCCUAAGAUCGUCAAGAAGAGGACCAAGAAGUUCAUUAGGCAUCAGUCAGAUCGAUAUGUCAAAAUCAAGCGGAACUGGCGGAAACCCAGAGGCAUUGACAACAGGGUACGCAGAAGAUUCAAGGGCCAGAUCUUGAUGCCCAACAUCGGUUACGGAAGUAACAAGAAAACCAAGCACAUGCUGCCCAGCGGCUUCCGGAAGUUCCUGGUCCACAACGUCAAGGAGCUUGAGGUGCUGCUGAUGUGCAACAAAUCUUACUGUGCUGAGAUUGCUCACAACGUCUCCUCCAAGAACCGCAAGGCCAUUGUGGAAAGAGCAGCCCAGCUGGCCAUCAGGAUCACCAAUCCCAAUGCCAGACUGCGCAGCGAGGAAAAUGAAUAGACAGCUCGUGUGCACAUUUUGUUUGUGGUAAUAAAAGCAUAAAACCCGAAAAAAAAAAAAAAAAAAACCAAAUUAAUGAUUGAGUGGCAUACAAUAUUGGUUUAAAGAGUCCAGCGAACUCUUCAUGUCAUUGUAUGGCAAAAAAACCACCACAAUAUUGUAAAGAUAUUAUCCUCAAAUUAAAAUAUAUUUUAAAAAAUUUUUAAGUAAAAAAAAAGAAAGGUAGAGUCCAGAAGAGGAAAGGAGUGAUGUUGGCUGUGUUGUCAGGGAAAGCAUCUUCUGAAGAUCUUUGACUUCAUGCUUGAAGGUAGUUAAGAUUUAGUUCGGUGUAAGAGGGUUCAGCAGAGGGACUAUUAUAGAUAGGAAAUGGCAGAGCAGACAUGGAGAUGGAUUGCAUAAAGGGUAUUCAGGUGCGGGAUGAGUAGACCCCUCUAAUAAUAGUAGGGGUUGGAGUGUAGCAAUUAAGAAUUAGGCCAAAUUUGAAAUGUAGAAGCACAUUAAAGAGGUACAUGAAUGGUUCAAUACAUAGCUUGUUACUAGUCCAGCAAAUAAGCACUGAACAAGUUUACUUCACUAAAGGGUAUUUGCCUUCUUGUUCUACUAAGAGAGCUUCUAUACAUGCCAACAACAAACAUAUUUUAAAUAGUACCAUUUACAAUUGCUCCAAAGAAUGUGAACUACUUAGGUUUAAAUCUAACAAACCAUGUGCAGGAUCUGUAUGCUGAAAAUUAUAAAAUAUUGAUGAAAGACAUUAAAGAAGACCUAAAUAAUUGGAGUGACUUGCUAUAUUCAUGGCUUGGAAACCCAAUAGAGUAAAUAUGUCAGUUCUUCCAAAAUUGACUUAUAGAUUUCACACAGUUUCUAUCAGAACCCCAGCAAGGUUUUUUUGGUAGGCAUAGCCAACUUAACGUAAAACUGCGUCCAGUAUGUUUAAAGAAUUGAGUGAGUGCUAGAUUUCCCAAAGGCAGGCAAAGGUCUCAUGUACUUAGGACACCAGCAAAGCGGAGGCUCUGAGGUCUUAGAAUCAGAUCAUUUGGGAAGAAGCUGUCUUUGUUGCAGUACAUGUAAAUGUACAGUUUAGUACUGGUUCUAGUUAGAGUUUAAUAUGAGGGAGGUGCACCAAAUAUUUUAGCUAGAAUUAAAGAUGGAAGAGGAGCACCAUAAUCUUUAGUGCUUAGACCCCCUGAAGGUUUUAAUCUGUCCCUAGCCCUGGGAAUAAAUAAGAGAGGCAAGGUCCCAUCUCGCAAGGAACAUCUUCGCAACAUUCUAGUGGGAAAAGAAGACAAAAACAGCCAGAGCUGUAACAAGAUCAGUUCUACAGGAGAAAUUGGGUGUUGUGAUAGCGCAUGUUGAAGAGGAGUUAAGGUGUUUGGGAGAGGCAUUUAGGAGGAGGGGGCACUUGAACUGAAGCCUGAAGGAUAGCCGCCAGGGACAUGGUCUGAGCAGACGCAGCAGGUCACUCUGAGACUGUUCAGCAAAAACAGUGUGACUUGUAGAGAGCCGCUAAUGUUGCCAGAGCAAAAGCAAGGCCAGUGGAUCUCAAAAGUACAAAACUAGGACCCAGACCACAUAGGCCUUUAUAAUGUACAGAAAGGAAUUUGCAUUCUUCUGUGGGAGAUUUAAGCAGGUUAGUACAUGACCUGAUUUAUGAAGAAGGUAUUUACAAGUAAACACAAUAGUUUAGUUUUGAAAAGAGUUUCAAUAAUAUUCUGCAUGUAUUUUUUCACUUUACAGCUCCCUUUUCCAAUGGGAAGUAAGCAUUUUUUAUAAUUUCGUUAAUCUCCAGGGAUCCCUUUAACGUUCCCAAAUCAAAUAUUCUUAGCUUAGGGUUCAUGGAUUCUUACAGAGUACAUGGAUGGACUUCAGAAGGUCUAGGAGCCCCCUAAAAUUGUGUACUAUAUGCUUAUGUGUGUUUUCCUGUGGUCCCUAACUUUCAACAGAUUUUCAAAGUGUUUUAUCAGUAUACAUACAAAUAAGACCUACUUUUAGUCUUGGCUGUGUCUUUUUGGACAGUGUGUUAGUCACUCAGUCGUGUCCGAUUCUUUGCGACCCCAUGGACUGUGGCCUGCCAGACUCCUCUGUCCAUGGGAUUCUCCAGGCAAGAAUACUGGAGUGGAUUCCCAUUCCCUUCUCCAGAGGAUCUUUCCAAUCCAGGGAUCGAACCCGGGUCUCCUGCACUGCAGGCAGAUUCUUUAUCGUCUGAGCUACGGGGCUGCUGCUGUUGUCCUAGGGCUCAUGGCUCCGCACAAAUGAAUUCCAGUUCUGGAAGGAAGCAGGUUCUGCCUCAAAGAGGUGAUACUAUGUUGGAGGAGACACUAUUCUGUCAGAAUUAGGAGAGAAUAUUCUGAGUUUGCCUCUGAAGGAAGUUCUGGGAAGAAAAUUGUACCUAUGUGAUGUGAAAGCUAGUAGAUACCUAGGUCAUUACCUGAUACCAUCCCACUCACUUUAUAUAUAAGAAAUCGAAGGUCCAGAGAGGUUAAGUGGCUUGCCCAAGAAUGCACAGCUAGUUAGGGACGAAACUGGGAUUAAAAACAGGUUUACUGUCAUUCCAUACAGCGUUCUGUGCUCCUCGUCAGAAAAAUCUGGACCACAUAUCGUACUUAAAAAAGUCUAAUGGGAAUUAAGUAUUCAGUCUCACUCAAUUAAAUUAAACAAGAGGCUACAGAAAAACCUGAGUGAACUGUUUGGCUAACCCAAUACAUGCUCAUUCAUAAGGAAAUGGAAGAAAGGAGGGAGGUGAAAGAGUUCAAAAUCAUACAGUCCCAGCUCUGAAAGAGAUGAAAAACCUCAAUGUCAAAUUAAGAUGUCCAACCAACAAAUAGCAACAACACUGUUAUCAGUGUAUAUCUGAUCUUUGUGUAGCAGAUAUGUAAACCGACACAGCAAGUUACAAACACUGGAUGAUUUUUCAUUUAUCAAUUUGGCAAGGAUUUUUAAAAUGAGUAAUCCCAGGAUUGAGUCGAGUGUGGAGACACAGAAAAGUAGAAAGAAAAGCAGUGAAUGUGGCUGUUACAGAAAGCUAAGAAGAGAGCAUUUCAAGAAAGGAAAGAGUGUGUUUCCAGUGAGUUAAUACCUAAGGAAGAUAAGGUUAAAAAAAAAGUCUUCCUUGGACUUAGCAACUAAGUGACUCUGAAGAGGGUGGUUUCAUCAAAGACGAUCUUGAAGAGGCAAGAUGGCAGUGAGUUCACCAGGGAAUGAGAAGGAAGGGAGGAAGUGGAAACAGUGAAAUAGAAAUUAUUCUUUUAGAAACUUCUAAUCCCAGUUUCAUCCCUAACUAGCUGUGGAUUCGUGGGCAAUAGAAACUGUUAAAAGGAAGUGAAAAGCAUCCUACCCAGCUUCAGGCAGAUGGAGAACAUUUCAACCCAGCAAAGGUCCUACUGACCUCCUCAAUUUCCUCCACUGUUGUUAUGAGGGUUAAAAACCCAGUAUACAUCUUGUACAAAGGAGCUGGUUGUUUCCAUAUUGGAUUAACAUGGUGAUGCUAGUUUAUUUUCACAUUCCAUUUAAUUUGUAGUUUCUUUAUAGUCGUGAUUU
This 5480-nucleotide long non-coding RNA is filed under the name Cervus hanglu yarkandensis (Yarkand deer). The record is from RNAcentral. Lineage: Eukaryota; Metazoa; Chordata; Mammalia; Artiodactyla; Cervidae.